GAGUUUGAUCCUGGCUCAGGACGAACGCUGGCGGCGUGCCUAACACAUGCAAGUCGAACGGAGUUGAAAGGAGCUUGCUUUUUUCAACUCAGUGGCGGACGGGUGAGUAACGCGUGAGUAACCUGCCUUUCAGAGGGGGAUAACGUUCUGAAAAGAACGCUAAUACCGCAUAAGAUUGUAGUUUCGCAUGGAGCAGCAAUCAAAGGAGCAAUCCGCUGAAAGAUGGACUCGCGUCCGAUUAGAUAGUUGGCGGGGUAACGGCCCACCAAGUCGACGAUCGGUAGCCGGACUGAGAGGUUGAUCGGCCACAUUGGGACUGAGACACGGCCCAGACUCCUACGGGAGGCAGCAGUGAGGGAUAUUGGGCAAUGGGGGAAACCCUGACCCAGCAACGCCGCGUGAGGGAUGACGGUUUUCGGAUUGUAAACCUCUGUCCUCUGUGAAGAUAGUGACGGUAGCAGAGGAGGAAGCUCCGGCUAACUACGUGCCAGCCGCCGCGGUAAUAC
This 506-nucleotide ribosomal RNA is filed under the name uncultured bacterium. RNAcentral's name for it is "bacterial SSU rRNA". It matches the Rfam family "Bacterial small subunit ribosomal RNA", at positions 9 to 526 of the family's 1533-position model. The record is from RNAcentral.